GGUCCCAUGGUCUAGUGGUCAGGACAUUGGACUCUUGAAUCCAGUAACCUGAGUUCAAAUCUUGGUGGGACCU
RNAcentral lists this transfer RNA (73 nucleotides) under Eragrostis curvula (weeping love grass). Its description in RNAcentral is "tRNA tRNA-Lys". It matches the Rfam family "tRNA". From Rfam's summary of the family: Transfer RNA (tRNA) molecules are approximately 80 nucleotides in length. Their secondary structure includes four short double-helical elements and three loops (D, anti-codon, and T loops). The record is from Rfam by way of RNAcentral. Lineage: Eukaryota; Viridiplantae; Streptophyta; Magnoliopsida; Poales; Poaceae.